RNAcentral lists this small nucleolar RNA (133 nucleotides) under Meriones unguiculatus (Mongolian gerbil). RNAcentral's name for it is "Small nucleolar RNA SNORA17 (ENSMUGG00000005403.1)". It matches the Rfam family "Small nucleolar RNA SNORA17". Rfam says of the family: snoRNA ACA 17 belongs to the H/ACA family of snoRNAs and is predicted to guide pseudouridylation of the 28S rRNA at positions U4659 and U4598. The record is from RNAcentral. Lineage: Eukaryota; Metazoa; Chordata; Mammalia; Rodentia; Muridae.
CCUGCUCCUAGAAGGAUUGCAGGUGCAACUUCUGUGCCACAUGGAUGUCAGUAGGUGGCAGAGAGGAGAGGGGUUAUGCCCACACUUAGUGCUCUGACCUAUCUGAAUGUCUGAAUGAUAGUCGCCUUACACU